This 465-nucleotide ribosomal RNA is filed under the name uncultured bacterium. RNAcentral describes it as "partial 16S ribosomal RNA". It matches the Rfam family "Bacterial small subunit ribosomal RNA", at positions 28 to 507 of the family's 1533-position model. The record is from RNAcentral.
GACGAACGCUGGCGGCGUGCUUAACACAUGCAAGUCGAACGGAAAGGCCCCUUUUGGGGUACUCGAGUGGCGAACGGGUGAGUAACACGUGAGUAACCUGCCCUUGACUUCGGGAUAACUUCAGGAAACUGGGGCUAAUACCGGAUAGGAAUCCUUGCUGCAUGGUGGGGGUUGGAAAGCUUCGGCGGUUUUGGAUGGACUCGCGGCUUAUCAGCUUGUUGGUGGGGUAGUGGCUUACCAAGGCUUUGACGGGUAGCCGGCCUGAGAGGGCGACCGGCCACAUUGGGACUGAGAUACGGCCCAGACUCCUACGGGAGGCAGCAGUGGGAAAUAUUGCACAAUGGGCGGAAGCCUGAUGCAGCAACGCCGCGUGCGGGAUGACGGCCUUCGGGUUGUAAACCGCUUUCAGCAGGGGCGAAGCUUGUGGUGACGGUACCUGCAGAAGAAGCACCGGCUAACUACGUG